UGCGCUCAUCACCCUGUGACAUACCUAAAACGUUGCCUCGGCGGGAACAGACGGCCCCGUAACACGGGCCGCCCCCGCCAGAGGACCCCCUAACUCUGUUUCUAUAAUGUUUCUUCUGAGUAAACAAGCAAAUAAAUUAAAACUUUCAACAACGGAUCUCUUGGCUCUGGCAUCGAUGAAGAACGCAGCGAAAUGCGAUAAGUAAUGUGAAUUGCAGAAUUCAGUGAAUCAUCGAAUCUUUGAACGCACAUUGCGCCCGCCAGUAUUCUGGCGGGCAUGCCUGUUCGAGCGUCAUUACAACCCUCAGGCCCCCGGGCCUGGCGUUGGGGAUCGGCGGAAGCCCCCUGCGGGCACAACGCCGUCCCCCAAAUACAGUGGCGGUCCCGCCGCAGCUUCCAUUGCGUAGUAGCUAACACCUCGCAACUGGAGAGCGGCGCGGCCACGCCGUAAAACACCCAACU
Molecule: ribosomal RNA, 461 nt
Rfam family: 5.8S ribosomal RNA (bases 141-294)